This 292-nucleotide ribosomal RNA is filed under the name uncultured Bacteroidota bacterium. Its description in RNAcentral is "uncultured Bacteroidetes bacterium partial 16S ribosomal RNA". Lineage: Bacteria; Pseudomonadati; Bacteroidota. The record is from RNAcentral.
GGACUACAGGGGUUUCUAAUCCUGUUUGAUCCCCACGCUUUCGUGCCUCAGCGUCAAUAUAUGCUUAGUUAGCUGCCUUCGCAAUCGGUGUUCUAUAACAUAUUUAUGCAUUUCACCGCUACAUGUUAUAUUCCGCCAACCUCAACAUAAUUCAAGACUAAUAGUAUCCAAGGCAGUUCCGAAGUUGAGCUUCGGGAUUUCACCCCAGACUUAAAAGCCCGCCUACACACCCUUUAAACCCAGUAAAUCCGGAUAACGCUUGCACCCUCCGUAUUACCGCGGCUGCUGGCAC